This 466-nucleotide ribosomal RNA is filed under the name uncultured bacterium. RNAcentral's name for it is "partial 16S ribosomal RNA". It matches the Rfam family "Bacterial small subunit ribosomal RNA", at positions 29 to 506 of the family's 1533-position model. The record is from RNAcentral.
ACGAACGCUGGCGGCGUGCUUAACACAUGCAAGUCGAACGGAAAGGCCCUGCUUUUGUGGGGUGCUCGAGUGGCGAACGGGUGAGUAACACGUGAGUAACCUGCCCUUGACUUUGGGAUAACUUCAGGAAACUGGGGCUAAUACCGGAUAGGAGCUCCUGCUGCAUGGUGGGGGUUGGAAAGUUUCGGCGGUUGGGGAUGGACUCGCGGCUUAUCAGCUUGUUGGUGGGGUAGUGGCUUACCAAGGCUUUGACGGGUAGCCGGCCUGAGAGGGUGACCGGCCACAUUGGGACUGAGAUACGGCCCAGACUCCUACGGGAGGCAGGAGUGGGGAAUAUUGCACAAUGGGCGGAAGCCUGAUGCAGCAACGCCGCGUGCGGGAUGACGGCCUUCGGGUUGUAAACCGCUUUCGCCUGUGACGAAGCGUGAGUGACGGUAAUGGGUAAAGAAGCACCGGCUAACUACGU